This 1372-nucleotide long non-coding RNA is filed under the name Callithrix jacchus (white-tufted-ear marmoset). Its description in RNAcentral is "lncRNA (ENSCJAG00000060588.2)". The record is from RNAcentral. Lineage: Eukaryota; Metazoa; Chordata; Mammalia; Primates; Cebidae.
UGUGCACCAGACUGGAACUGUUCAUACAAAUUCUAAGCAAUUAUAAGGCUUUCUGGGAAACAUUGGCAGCAAACUCUGGAUUAAAUGUUUAUAACAGCAAGCCAGAUGGGAAACAGAGAUAAGAAAAAUCUCAUGGAAACUUAUUUUUUUUUUCCCAGACCACAUUAUUUUAAAUUAACCUGGCCAAGGGGAAGCACUUUCACAUUGUUGACCAGUAAAGAGUUUUUGGUUGUUUAGAGGAUGCAGAACACAUGAAUGUAAAUAUGGGAAAAACAGACACUGUGGACUACUAGAGAAUGGAAGGAGAGAAGGUAGGUUAAAAAACUACCUAUUGGAUACUAUGUUCACUACCAGGGUGACAAGAUCCAUACUGCAAACCUCAGCAUCACACAAUAUUUCCAUGUAACAAAUAUGUACAUAUACCCUCUAAAAUAUUUUUUUUCCAUUUGAUAAGUGGAGUAAAAAUUAUUCCAAGCAAUCAAGUAAUUUGCCCAUGGUCAUGUAGUAUAUGGGAAAGCAAGGAUAGCAAACAAAUUGUGUCUAUUGACAAGAACCGUUCUUUCCCCAUCAUCUCCCACAGUCUUUAUCCUUCCAAUGCAUAGUGACUGCCUCUCUAGGUUGAUGAGAUAUACAUUCUACUUUAUUAUAUGCUCAUUAUUAUCCAUUAAAUGCCUUCUAUAUGCAAAACCUUUAGUUAAGUGCCAGAAAUCCCAGAGAAAUGGAAAAUCAUAAAAUAAAAUGGAACAAUAUUAUAAGGUUGUACAUGCUAAGCAUCUAAUAUAUGCUACAUAAUUCUUCAUAUGUGAACAUCCAGGUAGGUGGCUUUGAAGGGAGUAUGGUACCUAUAAAGUAAAGAGGUAUUGGUGAAGGUAACUCAGAAAAGGAGGAGGAAUGAUGAGCAGUGCCUGGUUCUAUUCAGAGAUAUGGCUUUAUUUGAUAUAUUACAUGAUACUUCCAACAAAGCAUCUCAAAAACUCUUGGAAAUUAUCUAGUACAAAUCUCUACCAUUUACACCAGAGAUAGAUAUAUUAUCUAUACCAUUUACACCCCUGCCAACCUAACUCACAUGCCCAGGGUCACCCAUCUAACCACUGAGCCAAGGUUUUUAGUCAUGUUUUCUCAGCACAGUCUUGGCAAAACUAUUAAUACCAGGACCAACCAUGAUGAUAUUAUUUGAAGCUGAUGGCUGUUCUUUAAUGCCAUCCCUAGAUUAAUUCAGACCUUAAGAUUACUUCUGUUACUUACUAUGCUAUGGCUGAUAUUUUUCAGAUUUUAGUCCAGGGUUGAAAACUCUAAUCCUUAUUCAUUUCUGUUUUGUUGUUUUCAUUACCCCUUUUGUAUUAUUGAGACAUCCUAGAGAUAGUAAUUGCAC